AUAAUGCAGUCGAGCGAACAGAUAAGGAGCUUGCUCCUUUGACGUUAGCGGCGGACGGGUGAGUAACACGUGGAUAACCUACCUAUAAGACUGGGAUAACUUCGGGAAACCGGAGCUAAUACCGGAUAACAUAUUGAACCGCAUGGUUCAAUAGUGAAAGGCGGCUUUGCUGUCACUUAUAGAUGGAUCCGCGCCGUAUUAGCUAGUUGGUAAGGUAACGGCUUACCAAGGCAACGAUACGUAGCCGACCUGAGAGGGUGAUCGGCCACACUGGAACUGAGACACGGUCCAGACUCCUACGGGAGGCAGCAGUAGGGAAUCUUCCGCAAUGGGCGAAAGCCUGACGGAGCAACGCCGCGUGAGUGAUGAAGGUCUUCGGAUCGUAAAACUCUGUUAUCAGGGAAGAACAAAUGUGUAAGUAACUGUGCACAUCUUGACGGUACCUGAUCAGAAAGCCACGGCUAACUACGUGCCAGCAGCCGCGGUAAUACGUAGGUGGCAAGCGUUAUCCGGAAUUAUUGGGCGUAAAGCGCGCGUAGGCGGUUUUUUAAGUCUGAUGUGAAAGCCCACGGCUCAACCGUGGAGGGUCAUUGGAAACUGGAAAACUUGAGUGCAGAAGAGGAAAGUGGAAUUCCAUGUGUAGCGGUGAAAUGCGCAGAGAUAUGGAGGAACACCAGUGGCGAAGGCGACUUUCUGGUCUGUAACUGACGCUGAUGUGCGAAAGCGUGGGGAUCAAACAGGAUUAGAUACCCUGGUAGUCCACGCCGUAAACGAUGAGUGCUAAGUGUUAGGGGGUUUCCGCCCCUUAGUGCUGCAGCUAACGCAUUAAGCACUCCGCCUGGGGAGUACGACCGCAAGGUUG
This 862-nucleotide ribosomal RNA is filed under the name Staphylococcus warneri. Its description in RNAcentral is "bacterial SSU rRNA". It matches the Rfam family "Bacterial small subunit ribosomal RNA", at positions 51 to 896 of the family's 1533-position model. Lineage: Bacteria; Bacillati; Bacillota; Bacilli; Caryophanales; Staphylococcaceae. The record is from RNAcentral.